This 253-nucleotide ribosomal RNA is filed under the name uncultured bacterium. Its description in RNAcentral is "partial 16S ribosomal RNA". It matches the Rfam family "Bacterial small subunit ribosomal RNA", at positions 524 to 776 of the family's 1533-position model. The record is from RNAcentral. RNAcentral also lists the same sequence under 1 other name.
UACGUAGGUGGCAAGCGUUGUCCGGAUUUAUUGGGUUUAAAGGGUGCGUAGGCGGCUUUGUAAGUCAGUGGUGAAAUACGGUAGCUCAACUAUCGAGGUGCCAUUGAUACUGCGGAGCUUGAGUACAGAUGAGGUAGGCGGAAUUGACGGUGUAGCGGUGAAAUGCUUAGAUAUCGUCAAGAACACCUAUAGCGAAGGCAGCUUACUAGGCUGUAACUGACGCUGAGGCACGAAAGUGUGGGGAUCAAACAGG